AACGAACGCUGGCGGCAUGCCUAACACAUGCAAGUCGAACGAGACCUUCGGGUCUAGUGGCGCACGGGUGCGUAACGCGUGGGAAUCUGCCCUUGGGUUCGGAAUAACAGUUAGAAAUGACUGCUAAUACCGGAUAAUGUCUUCGGACCAAAGAUUUAUCGCCCAGGGAUGAGCCCGCGUAGGAUUAGCUAGUUGGUGAGGUAAAGGCUCACCAAGGCGACGAUCCUUAGCUGGUCUGAGAGGAUGAUCAGCCACACUGGGACUGAGACACGGCCCAGACUCCUACGGAGGCAGCAGUGGGGAAUAUUGGACAAUGGGCGAAAGCCUGAUCCAGCAAUGCCGCGUGAGUGAUGAAGGCCUUAGGGUUGUAAAGCUCUUUUACCCGGGAUGAUAAUGACAGUACCGGAGAAUAAGCCCCGGCUAACUCCGUGCCAGCAGCCGC
This 442-nucleotide ribosomal RNA is filed under the name uncultured bacterium. RNAcentral describes it as "bacterial SSU rRNA". It matches the Rfam family "Bacterial small subunit ribosomal RNA", at positions 29 to 518 of the family's 1533-position model. The record is from RNAcentral.